CCCAGCCAUGCCCCCAGCCAGAGACAGACCACGCUCCGCAUAGCUCAGGUUUCCAGAAGACUCUCCAGAAGACAAGGGUCAGGGUAGACAUCCAUCUGGGCAAGAGAAGAGAGGACAACUUUGGACUUUGCUUAAGACUUCAGGCCAUGAACUGCCAACUACUUGUUCAACCUGAAUGAUACCUGCUACCUGAUUCUGAGCCUCAACACCUCCUGGAUGUGAUUGCCACCAUCUUCAAGUCAUGUGUCUCCUCUCCUCAGUCUGGACUCAGCUUUGCUGGGCCAGCUUUAUGCCCCUUAUCAGCCUGAAGUAGCUCCAGAAAAUGAGACCUUCAGCCCUUUGCCCAAAAUUAAUUUGGGUUCCAAUUGUUUGAGGGGGGAAUGAUGUGGUGUAGCUUGUAAGGAGGAUGUAGCGAUAACCUAAGGCUACCUGGCCUUGGGAGUUCUGUAGUUCUACAAACAAUGCUGUCACAUAACAAUCUAUUGGUCAGUAAUAACAAAAACAAUCUAAGCCAUAGAAUUCAAUACUAAGACCACGCCUUAAUUUCACCUAGUCUAAGCCAUAAAAUUAACAUAUCAGUGACAUGAAGCACCUGAUCUUUCUUUUUCCUAUGAAUUUUUCUUGCUCCUGGUUCUUUGCUAAAUUCUUUUGGAAUUUAACUUUCUUCAAUUGAUGUUACAAUUAUAAUAAACUUGUCCCUUGACUUGGA
This is a long non-coding RNA of Antechinus flavipes (yellow-footed antechinus), 709 nucleotides long. RefSeq lists it as uncharacterized. The record is from RefSeq and is a predicted model, not a curated record. NCBI's taxonomy places the organism in Eukaryota, Metazoa, Chordata, Mammalia, Dasyuromorphia, Dasyuridae. The transcript has 3 exons.